RNAcentral lists this long non-coding RNA (1655 nucleotides) under Panax ginseng (ginseng). RNAcentral's name for it is "long non-coding RNA (PGIN_LNC000844)". Lineage: Eukaryota; Viridiplantae; Streptophyta; Magnoliopsida; Apiales; Araliaceae. The record is from RNAcentral.
AAAAUAUAAAUAAAAAUAUUUUAUCAGUUUUUUCUUAUUAUAAUUAAAAAAGAACUGGAGACUAUAAAAGGGUAUGCAUGGAAGUCUAGAGAUCACAGAAAACACACACUUCAUUUCUUAAGAAAAAAGUUGUUGAAGUUUGAAGAGAUCAUGAGGGCAAUAUAUAUUAUCAGCAUCAUUAUAGUGAGCUUGAGCAUUUUCUCUUGUGGUGGGAAUGCUCGACUUCUUCCUGCUAAUAGAGAUUAUCCAUGGGCAAUGUUUGCCCUAAGGCUUCAAUGGCCAGCUGGAUUUUACGAGGUCAACAAUGACUGUGAUACAAAGUCUCUCCUCAACACAUUUACCAUUCACGGCCUUUAUCCCUAUAACGCGAAGGGGAUCCCAGUGUUAUAUUGUGACGGAACUGCCUUUGAUGUUAACUCUGUGAGUUCUCUCAGUCUGCAUUUAAUUUACUUCUUAAAAUCCUUGCUCUAUUGUCUAUUAAAUAUGUUUUUUUGUGGUAACAUUUAUAUAUAUCUUGAAGAGUUGGAUAUGUUUGUUUGAUAAAAAAAAUGAAAUUGUACAUGCAAUAUAUAUCCAUACAUACUCACAUAUGUUAAACUAAUUUCUCUCCUCCUUUAUUUUGAAAAUUAACAGGUAUCGGACUUUCAAGCAGAAAUGCAUCUUGCAUGGCCGAGUCAUGAAACUAAUACUGAGGACAAACAAUUCUGGGAACACGAGUGGAAUAAACAUGGAAGGUGCUCAGAAGCUUUGUUGAAGCAGACUGAUUAUUUUAGAACGGCGCUUGCUUUUAGAAAAGCAUUUGAUAUAAUUGGGCUACUAAACCAGGAAGGUAAACAUACCCAUUGAUAUAUAAUUAAAUAGUCUUUAAUUUGGUUCAUUAAUUGCUUCCUAAGGGAACUACGUACUUAAUUUAGAUUUUGUGGAUGAUUAAUUGAUAAUGUGAGUUUGAUGAGAUUACUAUUCAAAAAUGUGUAGGGAUUUACCCGAAUAACGACCUUUAUCGUCCUAAAAUGAUAAAAGAAGCAAUCAAAAAGCACUUGAAUGCUGUGCCAGAAAUCGAUUUCACCAAAAACGAAAACUCAGAAUAUGUGCUUACGGAUAUUAAUCUAUGUGUGAACCAACAAGCAACAAGGUUCGUAGAUUGCCCUACCGAUGACGCUACUGAUGACUACCGCCUCAAAUUCGUAAGACUACCUUCUAAAAUGAAAAUUGCGGAUCCGAGGACCAAUUCUAUAAUAUAGCACAAAUGGUACGGCUACAAAAUGGACUACUAUCUUGUUUAAUUAAUGCUUUUGGGAGUAUAUAUUAUCUAUGUAAAAUAGUUAUGAGUGCUAGGGUUGGCUAAUUAGUACUAUGAGGCCAACCUUUAGUAUCUCUUGAAUAAUGUCCAUGUAGCAAAAGUUUAUAGCACUCUGGCCUUGGUGUGUAUGGAUAAUUAUAAUAAAUGACUACUUUUAUCUGCAAAAAAAAAUAAAAUCCAAGUAUUUUCUUUUGUUUUUAUUUUUGAUAAGAAUUUAAUUUUAUGUAGUUUGAUGGCAUAGUUUAUCUAGGAAGCUGAUAUUUUCACAUGUUAAAAUGAUAUUUUCAAACGAGUCUCUCACAAUAUGGAUGUGGGACUUGCUCACUAUUCAUGUGAGAGGGAUUAUGUGAAAAUA